RNAcentral lists this ribosomal RNA (438 nucleotides) under uncultured bacterium. RNAcentral's name for it is "partial 16S ribosomal RNA". It matches the Rfam family "Bacterial small subunit ribosomal RNA", at positions 339 to 795 of the family's 1533-position model. The record is from RNAcentral.
CUACGGGCUGCUCCAGUGAGGAAUAUUGCACAAUGGGGGGAACCCUGAUGCAGCAACGCCGCGUGGAGGAUGACGCAUUUCGGUGUGUAAACUCCUUUAUAUGUCAAGAAAAUGACGGUAGCAUAUGAAUAAGCACCGGCUAACUCCGUGCCAGCAGCCGCGGUAAUACGGAGAGUGCAAGCGUUACUCGGAAUCACUGGGCGUAAAGGACGCGUAGGCGGGUUGGAAAGUCAGGUGUGAAAUCCUACAGCUUAACUGUAGAACUGCACUUGAAACAUCUAAUCUAGAGUAUGGGAGGGGGAGAUGGAAUUAGUGGUGUAGGGGUAAAAUCCGUAGAUAUCACUAGGAAUACCUAAAGCGAAGGCGAUCUCCUGGAACAUUACUGACGCUAAGGCGUGAAAGCGUGGGGAGCAAACAGGAUUAGAUACCCCGGUAGUC